UUGGUGAGGUAACGGCUCACCAAGGCAACGAUGCGUAGCCGACCUGAGAGGGUGAUCGGCCACACUGGGACUGAGACACGGCCCAGACUCCUACGGGAGGCAGCAGUAGGGAAUCUUCCGCAAUGGACGAAAGUCUGACGGAGCAACGCCGCGUGAGUGAUGAAGGCUUUCGGGUCGUAAAACUCUGUUGUUAGGGAAGAACAAGUGCUAGUUGAAUAAGCUGGCACCUUGACGGUACCUAACCAGAAAGCCACGGCUAACUACGUGCCAACAGCCGCGGUAAUACCUAGGUGGCAAGCGUUAUCCCGAAUUAUUGGGCGUAAAGCGCGCGCCCGUGGUUUCUUUAGUGUGAUUUGAAAGUCCCCGGGUCCCCCCUGG
RNAcentral lists this ribosomal RNA (378 nucleotides) under Bacillus sp. (in: firmicutes). Its description in RNAcentral is "bacterial SSU rRNA". It matches the Rfam family "Bacterial small subunit ribosomal RNA", at positions 249 to 618 of the family's 1533-position model. The record is from RNAcentral. Lineage: Bacteria; Bacillati; Bacillota; Bacilli; Caryophanales; Bacillaceae.